AGACAGGGAGCACUCACGGGCAUUUUCAUCUGUGAUUUAGACUUUCCAUCCCGUAGUUUACUAGUUUAGAGGAUCACAAGACUAAGUUGUCACCAUCAUGCGUUAAUCUGCCUCAUGAGCGCAGGAUGAAGUGUUUUGACAACCCACGGGUUCUGACAACAGUGGUCUGCCUGGGCAUCAUGGGCCUCUGCCUGGGCAUCAUGGGCCUCUGUGUCAUUCUCUAACUUUAAUCUCCAGGAUCUGGCUCCGACCACGUGGCAUGCUCACUGGCUGCACCUGUCGGCAGCACUGGGCUGGAGGAUGAGUACCUGGGAUGAACGCCUGAUGGAAAUGACUGGGCAGCUCUUGUGGUGAAAUAGGACACUCUCAACCCUGGGCUCAGCAGGCCAUUUCGAUGGUGAGACAAGUGUUUGGAACAAAGAUGAAAAUCAAGAUGUGAGCAGAAUUAGUGAGUUCUUAGAGCAACUAAACUGUGACAUGUCACCAAGACAGAAAUCUUGCAAAGGCCGCUCUGAGAGUAUGUAGUAAGUGUUACAUCUGGUAUGUGAAGCUGGGCAAUGGAGGAAGGACUGAAGCCCCAGGAUGUUGACCCAGCACAUGCUCCAGCACACCUCUAUCUACUCUGACAUCCUACCACCCUGCGUUGUGGUUCACAGAGUUCCCCUCCUGGUGUGACCUUCAGCUUCCCCCAGUACUCUGAGAGGGAAGAGUACUACUGUCUCCAUUCCUUGACUUUGGAUCCAAUCAAGUAAGGACCAUCGAGUGAGGCAGUGAGGCUAGUGUGCCCGUUCAGAAGCCACACCCCAAGGUGUUUCUCUCGGGCACACCUGCCACCGACAUGAGAACAUCUUUAGCUCACUGGUCCAAAGAAGCUGAGACACAUGCAGAGUGGAGCCUUCCAGAUGAAACCAGUUAUCCAGAUGAAACUAGUCUCGAUCAGCCACCAUCCGACCCACCUGAGCUUGGCCAAGAGCUUAGCGUUGCAUGUUGCUGAGAUUUCUCAAUCGUCUAUUGACCUACGCCUUUCUAGCAACCAUUAGCGGAUGGAAAUACGUGGUUGACUGACUGGAUUUUGACGCUGAACUUCACUCCUGCAAUAAACCUAAAUUUGUAAAAUAAUAAAUGUUGGUCAU
Peromyscus maniculatus bairdii (prairie deer mouse) is the source of this 1133-nucleotide non-coding RNA. Lineage: Eukaryota; Metazoa; Chordata; Mammalia; Rodentia; Cricetidae. The record is from RefSeq and is a predicted model, not a curated record.